CACGUAGGGGGCGAGCGUUGUCCGGAUUUAUUGGGCGUAAAGAGCUCGUAGGCGGCUUUGUCAGUCGGGUGUGAAACCUCCAGGCUCAACCUGGAGCCGCCACCCGAUACUGCAAUAGCUAGAGUCCGGUAGGGGAGCAUGGAACUCCUGGUGUAGCGGUGAAAUGCGCAGAUAUCAGGAAGAACACCAGUGGCGAAGGCGGUGCUCUGGGCCGGAACUGACGCUGAGGCGCGAAAGCCAGGGGAGCAAACGGG
This 254-nucleotide ribosomal RNA is filed under the name uncultured bacterium. RNAcentral describes it as "partial 16S ribosomal RNA". It matches the Rfam family "Bacterial small subunit ribosomal RNA", at positions 524 to 776 of the family's 1533-position model. The record is from RNAcentral.